This 58-nucleotide transfer RNA is filed under the name Salmo salar (Atlantic salmon). It matches the Rfam family "tRNA", at positions 9 to 63 of the family's 71-position model. From Rfam's summary of the family: Transfer RNA (tRNA) molecules are approximately 80 nucleotides in length. Their secondary structure includes four short double-helical elements and three loops (D, anti-codon, and T loops). The record is from Rfam by way of RNAcentral. Lineage: Eukaryota; Metazoa; Chordata; Actinopteri; Salmoniformes; Salmonidae.
GGCUCAGUUGGUAGAGCAUUGGUGUUUGCAACGCCAGGGUUGUGGGUUCGAUUCCCAC